GGUACUCGAGCGGCGAACGGGUGAGUAACACGUGAGUAAUCUGCCCUGCGCUCUGGGAUAGCCACCGGAAACGGUGAUUAAUACCGGAUAGGACCACUUCACGCAUGUGAUGGUGGUGGAAAGUUUUUUCGGCGCAGGAUGUGCUCGCGGCCUAUCAGCUUGUUGGUGAGGUAACGGCUCACCAAGGCUUUGACGGGUAACCGGCCUGAGAGGGUGACCGGUCACACUGGGACUGAGACACGGCCCAGACUCCUACGGGAGGCAGCAGUGGGGAAUAUUGGACAAUGGGCGGAAGCCUGAUCCAGCAACGCCGCGUGAGGGAUGACGGCCUUCGGGUUGUAAACCUCUUUCAGUACCGACGAAGCGAAAGUGACGGUAGGUACAGAAGAAGGACCGGCCAACUACGUGCCAGCAGCCGCGGUAAUACGUAGGGUCCGAGCGUUGUCCGGAAUUAUUGGGCGUAAAGGGCUCGUAGGCGGUUUGUCGCGUCGGGAGUGAAAACACCGGGCUUAACUCGGUGCUUGCUUUCGAUACGGGCAGACUAGAGGUAUGCAGGGGAGAAUGGAAUUCCUGGUGUAGCGGUGAAAUGCGCAGAUAUCAGGAGGAACACCGGUGGCGAAGGCGGUUCUCUGGGCAUUACCUGACGCUGAGGAGCGAAAGUGUGGGGAGCGAACAGGAUUAGAUACCCUGGUAGUCCACACCGUAAACGUUGGGCGCUAGGUGUGGGGCCUAUUCC
RNAcentral lists this ribosomal RNA (736 nucleotides) under uncultured Nocardioides sp. Its description in RNAcentral is "bacterial SSU rRNA". It matches the Rfam family "Bacterial small subunit ribosomal RNA", at positions 86 to 835 of the family's 1533-position model. The record is from RNAcentral. Lineage: Bacteria; Bacillati; Actinomycetota; Actinomycetes; Propionibacteriales; Nocardioidaceae.